UGAAGAUGAAGUAAGAGCAAACAAUUGGUAGUCGGAAACAAUCAGAUUGAAAACACACUCAUGGCAUAAGCAAUGAAAUCACAAAAGCAUUCCAUAAAUUACACUGGUUCCGGGAUACACAACAAACAAACAGAAGCAGAGCAAAAAAAAGACGGCUUUACCAAAAGAAACAAAGAGCAAUCAUUCUCUACGCCGGCUGCUGAGACUCCAAGGGAAGGCCAAGGAGUUCAUCUCCUCCGGCUUCGGCUUUCCUGGCGGCCCUUGCGAUGACAGGAAGCGCCACAAAUGAUUUAGUCUUACUGAUGGGUCUGCUCUUUUCCAGUCUGACCACGUCGCCAACCUUGAACUGAUUAUCGGGGUCGUGAGCUUGGUACUUCUUCUUCAUCCUCACGCGCCUCUUGUACUUGGGGUGGGGAGCCAGCCUCACCACCUCCACCGCCACAGUCUUGUCACUGGUUGCGCACACCACGCGCCCCUGCAUCGUUUUCAUGGCUCUGAUGACCGGAACUAAAGCGGGCAUUCUGUGGUUCGGGAAGGAAUUGGGCUUAGAGAGAGAUGAGAGAGGAGUGGAGCCAUGGGCGAACGGAGACGAAAGCUUGAGAGCUUGCAGAGAUGAGGUUAGGGACGACGUUAUCAUCCUUCCGAUUUGGAAUCGAAUCGAUGAAAAUGAAGAUAAGG
This 678-nucleotide long non-coding RNA is filed under the name Arabidopsis thaliana (thale cress). RNAcentral's name for it is "ncRNA (AT1G09927)". The record is from RNAcentral. Lineage: Eukaryota; Viridiplantae; Streptophyta; Magnoliopsida; Brassicales; Brassicaceae.